This 679-nucleotide long non-coding RNA is filed under the name Hordeum vulgare. RNAcentral describes it as "long non-coding RNA (HVUL_LNC015625)". Lineage: Eukaryota; Viridiplantae; Streptophyta; Magnoliopsida; Poales; Poaceae. The record is from RNAcentral.
CCUCUCUUGCAUGAUGAUGCAUAAAUACAAGCCCAAAGAUGGCAUCAUCACGUGGAAAAUAUGAGUAAACCAUUAAAACCAAUGAUGUGGUAGCAAAUGUGGCCCUAAACUACAAGUGCUAGCUACACUCCUCUCCCUGAGCUGAAAAGUGGUGGACAUGUAGUCCUUACAUAGCUAGGGCCACUAGAAAAGGUUUCAUGCCAAGUGCCCUCCAAUAAAAGGCCAUUUUUUAGCCCCAAGUUUGUUUCUACAAACUUACCCCCUAUAGAAACCCCACUUACACUGCCCCAUAUGAGAACGAAAUCCACUAGUGCUCUCCAGCAUGCAUGCCUCAUGUGUUAGACAACUUUUCCCGGAAAAAUAGAUUCCCUCGACACAUGUUGGCAUGGUGACCAUGCAGUUGACCUUAAACAACGGCUCUCUGCCAAAAAAAGGAUGUCUAGUAGCUCAUGUCCAGCAGCGGCAGAAUAUCCCAGCAUGCCAGGCAUCUCCUCUCACCCCUCCACGCCUCUCCCCGAUGCCAGCUUGCCUCCAAAGCACCUCUGCCACACAUACUUUCCGUGUCCGAGGGAAUCCGAGGUGCACCAGAGCUCUCUCUUGUUGCCCUCUGCCCAAAAGUCGUCAGUGAGCCCCCUUUUGACCCCCUCUAGCUCCAUCUCACUCCCGCGCACCUAUCACA